UAAGGUAAAAGCUUACCAAGGNUACGAUAGGUAGGGGGCCUGAGAGGGUGAUCCCCCACACUGGUACUGAGACACGGACCAGACUCCUACGGGAGGCAGCAGUGAGGAAUAUUGCACAAUGGAGGAAACUCUGAUGCAGCCAUGCCGCGUGCAGGAUGAACGCCCUAUGGGUUGUAAACUGCUUUUCUGCAAGAAGAAACCUUAGUACGUGUACUAAGCUGACGGUAUGUA
This 231-nucleotide ribosomal RNA is filed under the name uncultured Bacteroidota bacterium. RNAcentral describes it as "uncultured Bacteroidetes bacterium partial 16S ribosomal RNA". It matches the Rfam family "Bacterial small subunit ribosomal RNA", at positions 253 to 482 of the family's 1533-position model. The record is from RNAcentral. Lineage: Bacteria; Pseudomonadati; Bacteroidota.